CAGGCGGCGUACGUGAAGCUCGCGCUGCACGCGCUCAAGCACCCGGCGGCGGCCGUCAACGGGCUCCUCGUCGGCCGCCUGGCGGACCCGGCCGCCUCCCCGGUCGUCGUCUCGGUCGCCGACGCCGUGUCGCUCUCCCACCAGCCGCACCACCUCCCGCUGCUCCCCACGCUCGAGCUCGCGCUCACCCUCGUCGAGGACCACUUCCAGGCGCAGGUCCUCGCCGUCGUCGGAUACUACCACACCAACGCGCGCCGCGACGACGCCGACCUCCCCGCCAUCGCCAAGCGCGUCGGGGACCACAUCUUCCGCUACUUCCCCCGCACCGCCGUGCUGCUGGUCGAUGUUGUGCUUUCCUAUGUUUCCCCUGUCUUGAGCGGUUAUGGGGGUGCGGAGAUCUCGCUUGGGUGCUGA
Molecule: ribosomal RNA, 414 nt
Filed under: Triticum aestivum (bread wheat)
Lineage: Eukaryota; Viridiplantae; Streptophyta; Magnoliopsida; Poales; Poaceae
Description: partial small subunit ribosomal RNA
Source: RNAcentral